This 615-nucleotide long non-coding RNA is filed under the name Ananas comosus (pineapple). Its description in RNAcentral is "long non-coding RNA (ACOM_LNC036001)". The record is from RNAcentral. Lineage: Eukaryota; Viridiplantae; Streptophyta; Magnoliopsida; Poales; Bromeliaceae.
GUAUGAAACAUAAAAAUAGAAGGACUACAAUCACUACAACAGAAUUAUGUUAUAGGGACACAUGUUUGGGACAUUUUUGUAUAAGUGUCACAUUUAUGCCAAACUUAAAAAAAAACCUACUAAUGCCUAAAUAUAAAGUCCAAUCCAACCAAAAAUAAAAAGAUACUCUACUCAACCCACCCCACCCAGCUCAUUCGGUCUGAUUACAAACAGAAGAGAAAAAGAAAAGAAAAAGAAAAGAAAAAUCGAUUACAAUUUCUCCUUCUCCCCUCACUCAAUUGACUGAAAUUCUAGACGAAAAUCCGUUCCUCUCGUCCUCCUCCGCCACCGCAGCCAACGAGGUAGAGUUCCGACGGUUGCUAAAUGCUUAAAUAAAUAUUGUUAAAUUAGCAGCACUCUUUUAGAUUAUAGCGACACUCUUUAACUGUCACUAUAUACCUAGCGACCCCACAUAUAGCAACACUUUUUAAAAGUGUCGGUAAUUUAGCCAGCAGCACUUUUUUUGACUUAUACCGAUAUUUAAAAGUGUCGCUAUAGACCGUUUUUGUUGUAGUGAAUAUAAUAAUGAACAAAAUCUAGAAUUAAUUUCAAAGAUAAAAAGGAGACAACAAGAAA